This 533-nucleotide ribosomal RNA is filed under the name uncultured eukaryote. RNAcentral describes it as "bacterial SSU rRNA". It matches the Rfam family "Eukaryotic small subunit ribosomal RNA", at positions 1214 to 1770 of the family's 1831-position model. The record is from RNAcentral.
CUCACCAGGUCAGGACACGGUAAGGAUUGACGGACUGAAGGCUCUUUUCUCGAUUCCGUGGAAAGUGGUGCAUGGCCGUUUUUGGUUGGUGGAUCGAUCCGUCUGGUUAAUUCCGUUAACGAACGAGACCUCGGCACUCCGAAUAGCGCGGCGGACGUCGCGGCCUCCGGGCCGUCUUCCGCACGAGCUUCUUAGAGGGACCGUCCCCCGCCGGGGAAGGAGGUGCGAGGCAACGACAGGUCUGUGAUGCCCUUAGAUGUUCUGGGCCGCACGCGCAUUACACUGACGCGUCCAACGGGUGACUCCCGACCCGAAGGGGCCGGGGAAUCCGCAAGGCGCGUCGUGAUGGGGAUUGAACGUUGCAAUUGUUGUUCACGAACGAGGAAUUCCUAGUAGGCGCGGGUCAUCAACCCGCGCCGAUUACGUCCCUGCCCUUUGUACACACCGCCCGUCGCUCCUACCGAUCGAACGGUCCGGUGAGGACCCAGGACGGCGCGGGACCCGAGGGGCCGAAAGGCUCCGCGACCCGUGUC